GGCGGAGGCUGCGUUCCCGGGCUGGUGGGCUGGAAGGCAGGCAGAGGCCGCCAUAUUCCCGCCUUACCACGCCCGGGGCGGCCGGCGGGCAGCCGCAGGUCGGCCGCGGCCUCAGCCCGUUGUAGCGGCCGCCGGCUGACAGGGCGCGUUGGAGACCCGGCCCCGCCCCGAACCCGGACGGGGGCGGCUGCGACCGCUACGCCUGCGGGCCCCGCCGAGGGCGCGGGAGAGGGAGGCGGCCGCAGAGCCGGAGGGGGCCGGCCCAGCCGGGGAGCCGCGCGGGCGAGGCGAGAGCCGCACUGGGAGGCGCGCCGCGGCGGCUGCGAGCCCAGGAAAGCCUUCCAGGAGGGGCCGGGCGGCACCGCCUCCCGGCUCCCCUCCUCCCGCGCUCGCUCCCUCCUCCUCCUCUUCCUCCACCUCCUCCUCCUCCUCCUCCCGCCGCCUCCGUCGCCUCCCUCCCGGAUCUGUGCUCCAGUUCAGAG
Molecule: long non-coding RNA, 482 nt
Filed under: Marmota monax (woodchuck)
Lineage: Eukaryota; Metazoa; Chordata; Mammalia; Rodentia; Sciuridae
Source: RNAcentral